AUCUAAAUAGUUUAUUAAAAUAUUGACUUGUGGCGUCGAAGAUAUAAAAUUAUUUAUUUUAGAUC
RNAcentral lists this transfer RNA (65 nucleotides) under Platypalpus agilis. Its description in RNAcentral is "tRNA-His". Lineage: Eukaryota; Metazoa; Arthropoda; Insecta; Diptera; Hybotidae. The record is from RNAcentral.